RNAcentral lists this small RNA (525 nucleotides) under Pongo abelii (Sumatran orangutan). RNAcentral's name for it is "retained intron". The record is from RNAcentral. Lineage: Eukaryota; Metazoa; Chordata; Mammalia; Primates; Hominidae.
ACGUACCAAAAUCCUCAAGAUUCUCUGGCAUUUAUUUUAUUGCUGUGUUUAAUUUGAAAACCAGUAAAAAUGACUCAUUUUAAGCUAACAUUUCUUCUCUAAACCCUUACAUUUCUUUUUCUGCUUAACUUCAGAAUGGGAAAUGCAACCUAGAACCAAACGGUCAUCACUUCAGCAGGGUUUUUUGAAGAAUCAAAUAUUCAGUGGGAUACAAAUGACAAGAGGCUACAGUGGAUGGAAACUCUGUGACUGUAAGAAUUGUGGCGAGGUCUUCAGGGAACAAUUUUGCCUUAAGACACACAUGAGAGCUCAGAAUGGAGGGAACACUUCUGAGGGUAAUUGUUAUGGAAAAGACACCCUCGGUGUGCACAAGGAAGCCUCUAUUGGACGGGAGCUUUCCAAAUUUAAUCCAUGUGGAAAAGUCUUCACUCUAACUCCAGGUCUUGCUGUACAUCUUGAAGUUCUCAACGCAAGACAACCCUACAAAUGUAAGGAAUGUGGAAAAGGCUUUAAGUAUUUUGCGAG